UAACGAAAUCAUCACGUAAGAAAAUAUGC
Molecule: small RNA, 29 nt
Filed under: Bombyx mori (domestic silkworm)
Lineage: Eukaryota; Metazoa; Arthropoda; Insecta; Lepidoptera; Bombycidae
Description: piRNA piR-bmo-1925141
Source: RNAcentral